Molecule: ribosomal RNA, 2229 nt
Filed under: Euglena terricola
Lineage: Eukaryota; Euglenozoa; Euglenophyceae; Euglenales; Euglenaceae
Description: bacterial SSU rRNA
Rfam family: Eukaryotic small subunit ribosomal RNA
Source: RNAcentral
AUGCAAGUCUCAGNGCAAUCGGAUUGAACAGAGGGUCUGUGAAUGGCUCCUUACAUCAGCAGUCAUCCUCGUGAUAGUGUGUGGCUGGCACCCCGUGCAAUGGUGCCCAUUGGGACAUCCUCAAAAACCUUGUGGCUAAUACCCGUCCGCAGCAGUCAACCCCAGCACAGGGCGGCCUUCCCUGGCCGGCCUCCUGGUGGUGGAUCAUGCCCAGCUGAGACGAAGACCAGCGCCCGUUCCAAGGGGCAGUGUGUUGAGGGUUGACUCAGGCUGGACUCCCGUCUGGGGAACGGCCAUUCUGGCAGAGUUGGUGGCCUCGUGCCACAUCGCUUGAUCACAGGAACUUCUGACCUAUCAGCUUGGAUUGUGAGGUAGUGGCUCACAAUGGCAGUAACGGGUAACGGAGAAUCAGGGUUCGAUUCCGGAGAGGGAGCCUGAGAAACGGCUACCACUACCAAGGUGGGCAGCAGGCGCGCAAAUUGCCCAAUACAAGUCCCUUUGUGUGAGGCAGCGACGAACCGCAGCAAUCCCGCUGGCCUUCUGUGCCAGUGGUCUUUGGAAUGGAUGCAACCCAAACACAGCCAUGAGUAUCGACUGGAGGGCAAGUCUGGUGCCAGCAGCCGCGGUAAUUCCAGCUCCAAGAGCGUACACUAUCAUUGCUUCUGUUAAAACACCUGUAGUCUACCACUGGGUCCCGGUCUGCUGGGUGGCUGGCACCAGGGGUGUGGGGGUGGGGUCCUGCCUCGGCACGAUCCCCUCCCCCCCCUGGGGCUGGGUCAAAACCCCCAGCGGUGUGUCCGGGACCCGCAUCCCCUUGAGGAAUACCGGUGAGAUGCUCCUGCUGCAAGCCCCCUUCACUGGGGGCCCAGGCGGACACGCCCUCCACGCAGGCACGAGUCGCAGCAACCCUCCCAUGGGCUGUGUGCCCUGGACCACAGCUCCGUCUGUGGCUGCUGCUCGCCACAGGAGCCCACCUGACCUUGAUACCCUGGAAAACUCAGUGUGCUCAACGCAUCCUGCCCGUCACGGCUGGAUGCUCAUCCAUGGAAUGUCGCAGCAUCGACCUAGUGAGGCUCAGUGUUUGUGCUGGCCUUGGGGCCCACCCAGGGCAAUGUGGUGCAUGGUUCUGGACUGGACGGAGGGGGGCCGUGCUGGCUCGCCCACACGUGUCUCUCCAACUAAGGUAUCUGCAAACCAUGUGCUGACCGGAGAUGAUGGAACCAACCAGGGUGAAAGGUAUUGGACCGCCAGAGGUGAAAUUCUUAGACCGUUCCCAGACCCACUGGAGCGAUGGCGUUCUGCAGGCCUGGGUUCGUCGAUCAAGGAUGAGAGUCUGGGGAACGAAGAUGAUCAGACACCGUCGUAGUCCAGCACCGUAAACAGUGCCAGCAAGGCCUCAGCAGGGCCCCUUCCAAGACCCUGCUGGUGCCACUCCCCUACCAACGAGAAAUCCACAGCCUGUGGGUUCAGGGGGGAGUACUGUCGCAAGGCUGAAACUUAAAGGAAUUGACGGAAUGGCACCACAAGGCGUGGAGUAUGCGGCUUAAUUUGACUCAACACGGGGAAUGUUACCAGGUCAGGACACAGCUAGGAUGGACAGAUUGAGAGCUCUCUCUUGAUCCUGUGGUCGGUGGUGCAUGGCCGCUCCUGAUUGGUGGAGUGAUUUGUCUGGUUGAUUCCGAUAACGAGUGAGAUCUCUGCCUCCCAGUAGCCCCUGGCUCGCAUUUGGUAGGGCUAGGUCCCGGGAGACCAGCCCGGUGUCGACCGGUGCAACAACACUGGCCAGUGCCGGGUUCCCGGGCCUCCCGAGAGCCCAGGGCCCUAUAGCUUCUCUGAGGUGCUGUGUUCGCUUCCAAGAGCAUGCAUGCUAGAGCCAACAGCAGGUCUGUGAUGCCCCCAGAUGUUCUGGGCCGCACGCGCACUACAUUGGAAUGGUGAAGGGGUUAGCAACUUGGCUAUCUGCCGAGACCUGGCCAGCAAUGGCUGGGAAAUCCUGGGAGCCGAUGGCCGUACUGGGGAUAGACGAUUGCAACUGUGUGCCUUGAACGUGGAAUGCCUAGUAGGCGUUGGUCAUCAGCCAACACCGAUUGUGUCCCUGCCAUUUGUACACACCGCCCGUCGUUGCUACCGAUGGUGAGAGGAUAGAGACAUCAGGAGGUGUGACCGAUGUAUUAUGCGUGCACGAUCACGNCGAAAUUGGCCAAUGUUCUCUGACUAGAGGAAGCAAAA